AGAAUUUGAUCGUUGGUUCAGGAUGAACGCUAGCGGCAGGCUUAACACAUGCAAGUCGAGGGGCAACGCGAGUAGCAAUACUUGGCGGCGACCGGCGCAAGGGUGACGUAACGCGUGAGCAACAUGCCCGUAUCAGGGGGAUAAUCCAGGGAAACUUGGUCUAAUACCCCAUAGUAAUUUUGUAAGGCAUCUUAUAAGAUUUAAAGCUUUGGUGGAUACGGAUUGGCUCGCGUGACAUUAGCUGGAUGGUAAGGUAACGGCUUACCAUGGCUAUGAUGUCUAGGGGUUCUGAGAGGAAGGUCCCCCACACUGGAACUGAGACACGGUCCAGACUCCUACGGGAGGCAGCAGUGAGGAAUAUUGGACAAUGGAUGGAAAUCUGAUCCAGCCAUGCCGCGUGAAGGAAGAAGGUCCUAUGGAUUGUAAACUUCUUUUGUAUGGGAGACAAUAAGGCCUACGAGUAGGUUGACGAGAGUACCAUACGAAUAAGCACCGGCUAACUCCGUGCCAGCAGCUGC
Molecule: ribosomal RNA, 518 nt
Filed under: uncultured bacterium
Lineage: Bacteria
Description: bacterial SSU rRNA
Rfam family: Bacterial small subunit ribosomal RNA
Source: RNAcentral